Molecule: ribosomal RNA, 2568 nt
Filed under: Triticum aestivum (bread wheat)
Lineage: Eukaryota; Viridiplantae; Streptophyta; Magnoliopsida; Poales; Poaceae
Description: partial small subunit ribosomal RNA
Source: RNAcentral
AUGGCAGACAGCGGGCAGUUCGUGGUCACCAUUGGUCUGACGAACAUCAACACCACGAGGCAAGAUCCCAUCAAUGUCGCAUCCAGCAGAAAUUUGUUACCCUCUAGCCAUGUAUUCAGCUCCAGCAAUGUCGCAUCCAGCGGAAAUUUAUUACCCCCUGGCCAUGAAUCCAGCUCCAGGAUCAAUGAUGCUUUUGAGCUCUUGUGGGGACAUCGUAAAUAUUUGGUACUGCUUGGAGUCCUAGCAGUUGGUGUGACAUACAAUGCUGGAUUAACACCACCAGGGGGAUCGUGGACACUAAACAAGGAUGGCCAUGAUGCUGGUGACCCUGUCAUGCAUGAUGGCUUUUCUGAACGGUAUGAGGUGUUCUUUUACUGCAAUGCAGCAGCCUUUGCUGCAUCUCUUGUCUUAAUCAUCUUGCUUCUCAGCAAGAGUGUGACAAAUCAGAGGAUGUGGCUCCAUUCAAUGCAAUUGACCAUGACACUGGACCUGUUCAGCCUGCUGGGGGCUUAUGCUGCUGGAAGUUGCAGGACACUCAAGUCAUCCAUUUACAUCUUGGUUCUAGUCCUUGCUGUUAUCAUAUAUGUUGGGAUCCAUACUCUAGUAUCCACAAGGUUUAUUCCAAGAGAAAUUAAACAGAAUCUGCAGACAAUGAUAAAUAGUGUUCUAAACCAACGGCGUUCCCUUGGCAGGCAAGAGAGUAUCCCUCUAGAGAAAGCCGUUCAGGAGGUUCGCAAGUUCAUUUUGACGCUUGUAAUUUUUGCUGCUACUAUCACAUACCAAGCAGGAUUGAAUCCACCGGGCGGCUUUUGGGCUGAAAAUGACCAUGGUUCUAAUAAGGUGCAUAUGGCCUUUCCUCCUUACAAGCAUCAUCCGGGUACUUCUGUUCUCCGGAGUAACUACCUUGGUCGUUAUAAUAUAUUCAUCAUCUCCAAUUCAACUUCCUUUGUGGCAUCUUUGGUCAUAAUCAUACUGCUUCUGAGCCCAAAACUGAGUGGACAUGGAAUAAGGACCAAAGCAGUGAUUGUAUGUGUGGUAGUGGACCUACUGGGCCUAAUUGUUGCGUAUGCUGCAGGAUGUUGUAGAGAGGUAGCAACAUCAUUCUUUGUGGUGUCUAUUUUCUUCAUAGUUUGGAUUUCCUUCGCAGUUUUAGCUGGAUUAUUUGUUCAGGGACCUGUAGCAAAUUGGCUACAAGAGGUCAAAUCAAGCAGCCUGUGUUGUGUGAAAAAAAUGGGCCGUGCACUUUCAUUGAGCUUUCGUGGCCACAGAUCGAUCAAUGCAGAGCAGGGGAAUUCUGUGGCAAGGAAUCAUCAAUCCCCAGCCCGUUCAACUGAUGCACCUGCAGAAGAUAAUACCCCUGAGCAACAAGAGCAGCCUGCAGACAAUCAGCAACAAUCAAAUAUCAGACAGGGUGAAUUCCAUGAGUUGCAUGUACCUGCAGAAAAAAGUCAAAUUUCAGAUGUUCAAGAGGCUGUGUCUAACACACAGCAUCCGUCAGGGAACAGCCAGCAAUCAGCAAAUAUUCAGGAUGUUGUGUCCAACCCGGAGUGCCAGUCUCCAGAUGUCCAGCGUGUUGCAAACAUGGAGGAGGAUGUGUCCAGCUCACAGCAUCCUGCAGGGAACUGUCAACGACCAGAACAUGCCAAGGAUGUUGUGUCUAACAUGGAGUACCCAUUACUAAGCCACCAGCAAACUGAAAAUAGCAUGUGUGGUAUGUCAGCUAACCAGAAAGUUGCAAGUAUGGGGAAGCAAUCUUCAUCUGAUGAUCCCGACAUGACUGCUCUUCCAGUUGAGCAAAAUAUGCCUGUCAGGCAGAGUGAUGGAGACACUAGUAGUGACAUAGUGGAUGAAGGGCUCUCUGCACCUGUGGAAGCCAAUGGCAAUGUGGACUCUGCUGAACAAAACAAUCUGGUUGAAGAUAAUAACCCAGAGAUUUGUGGCAGUCAUGACCAUCCUACACAUUCUGAGAAUGCCCAUAUUGACAGCAAUCAAGGAGUACCCAAUCAAAAUGCUGACGACAUGCAAACUGAGAAGCACCUGAAGAAGACCCGCACUUGUAUGUUGCUUCUUGCCAUUCUUGCAGUAUCUCUGGCAUACCAAUCAGGCCUGAAUCCACCAGGUGGCUUUUGGUCAAGAAGUAAAGAUCAUCAUUCAGCUGCUGAUCGCAUCCUUGAGGACACCCACCAUCGCCGGUUCAUUGCAUUCUUCUAUCUCAACGCAAUCGCCUUUGUGGCAUCCAUUGUCAUGAUUACUUUGCUCUUGAACAAGAUGGCAAGCGACAAGGUUACCAAACGGCGUGCAUUGCCAAUAACGAUGAUAGUGGUCCUACUUUCCCUAACUGGAGCUUUUGCUCUGGGGAACUGCAGGGAGGCAAAGAAGACUAUUUUCAUAUCAGUGCUCGUAUGCACUGUGCUUGCUUAUGUUCUCAUUCAUGUCUUGAUAGCAGUACAUAUAAUUCCUCCAGAAUGGAGAAGUCAGGUAGCAGAGAUGCUAGAGCAGUCAGUUAGUCUUUUUUGCUCGGUGCCACGUCAAUCAGGCGACAACCAGACUGGGAGUGGUACUAGUUAG